RNAcentral lists this ribosomal RNA (423 nucleotides) under uncultured bacterium. RNAcentral's name for it is "partial 16S ribosomal RNA". It matches the Rfam family "Bacterial small subunit ribosomal RNA", at positions 359 to 774 of the family's 1533-position model. The record is from RNAcentral.
GAAUAUUGGACAAUGGGCGAAAGCCUGAUCCAGCCAUGCCGCGCGUGUGAAGAAGGUCUUCGGAUUGUAAAGCACCUUUAGUUGGGAGGAAGGGCAGUAAGCGAAUACCUUGCUGUUUUGACUUUACCGACAGAAUAAGACACGGCUAACUCUGUGCGCGCCGCCGCGGUAAUACAGAGGGUGCAAGCGUUAAUCGGAAUUACUGGGCGUAAAGCGCGCGUAGGUGGUUCGUUAAGUUGGAUGUGAAAUCCCCGGGCUCAACCUGGGAACUGCAUCCAAAACUGGCGAGCUAGAGGAGGGCAGAGGGUGGUAGAAUUUCCUGUGUAGCGGUGAAAUGCGUAGAUAUAGGAAGGAACACCAGUGGCGAAGGCGACCACCUGGGCUCAUACUGACACUGAGGUGCGAAAGCGUGGGGAGCAAACA